UACGAGGGGGGCAAAUGUUGUUCGGAAUCACUGGGCGUAAAGGGCGCGUAGGCGGGUUCUUAAGUAAGGUGUUUAAUCCCGGGGCCCAACCCCGGACCGGCAUUUUAAACUGGGAAUCUUGAAUAGUGGAGAGGUCGGUGGAAUUGGAGGUGUAGCGGUGGAAUGCGUAGAGAUCUCCAAGAACACCAGUUGCGAAGGCGGCCGACUGGACACAUAUUGACGCUGAGGCUCGAAAGCAUGGGGAGCAAACAGG
RNAcentral lists this ribosomal RNA (253 nucleotides) under uncultured bacterium. RNAcentral describes it as "partial 16S ribosomal RNA". It matches the Rfam family "Bacterial small subunit ribosomal RNA", at positions 524 to 776 of the family's 1533-position model. The record is from RNAcentral.